This 611-nucleotide ribosomal RNA is filed under the name Saccharothrix sp. YIM 68318. RNAcentral describes it as "bacterial SSU rRNA". It matches the Rfam family "Bacterial small subunit ribosomal RNA", at positions 85 to 710 of the family's 1533-position model. The record is from RNAcentral. Lineage: Bacteria; Bacillati; Actinomycetota; Actinomycetes; Pseudonocardiales; Pseudonocardiaceae.
GGGUACACGAGCGGCGAACGGGUGAGUAACACGUGGGUAACCUGCCCUGUACUCUGGGAUAAGCCUGGGAAACUAGGUCUAAUACCGGAUACGACCUGCUACCGCAUGGUGGUGGGUGGAAAGUUCCGGCGGUAUGGGAUGGACCCGCGGCCUAUCAGCUUGUUGGUGGGGUAAUGGCCUACCAAGGCGACGACGGGUAGCCGGCCUGAGAGGGUGACCGGCCACACUGGGACUGAGACACGGCCCAGACUCCUACGGGAGGCAGCAGUGGGGAAUAUUGCACAAUGGGCGAAAGCCUGAUGCAGCGACGCCGCGUGAGGGAUGACGGCCUUCGGGUUGUAAACCUCUUUCAGCAGGGACGAAGCGCAAGUGACGGUACCUGCAGAAGAAGCACCGGCUAACUACGUGCCAGCAGCCGCGGUAAUACGUAGGGUGCGAGCGUUGUCCGGAAUUAUUGGGCGUAAAGAGCUCGUAGGCGGUUUGUUGCGUCGGCUGUGAAAACUUCACGCUUAACGUGGAGCCUGCAGUCGAUACGGGCAGACUUGAGUUCGGCAGGGGAGACUGGAAUUCCUGGUGUAGCGGUGGAAUGCGCAGAUAUCAGGAGGAACACC